Molecule: ribosomal RNA, 316 nt
Filed under: Ferrisia virgata (striped mealybug)
Lineage: Eukaryota; Metazoa; Arthropoda; Insecta; Hemiptera; Pseudococcidae
Description: partial 28S ribosomal RNA
Source: RNAcentral
AAACCGUUCGGGGGUAAACGGACAGAGCCCGUGAAUCCGGGCGACGGAAUUCAGAAUCGACGGCGUUCGCGCGUCGUCGGUUUGAUAUUUCCGUCGCCGUGACAAUGUACGGACGUCGCGACCCGUUCGGUGUCGGUCCGAGGAGACGUGUAAAAGUUCGCCGACGUUGCGUUCAUUCGUGGGCGCGCGUCGACGAGUGCGCGUUCUUUUUUUUUCUGGCCGACUCGCCGGACGGUACGCGUAACGGUGGCCGCGGCGACCUUUCGAGCGUCGUCGUCGGUACCGGUCUGCGACGAAUCUUCGGGCCUCUUUCCGA